This is a non-coding RNA of Pelobates cultripes (western spadefoot toad), 213 nucleotides long. NCBI's taxonomy places the organism in Eukaryota, Metazoa, Chordata, Amphibia, Anura, Pelobatidae. The record is from the annotation of a GenBank genome assembly.
GUUUGUUUUAUAUUGCCACACCCGUUCCUUUUCCAUGAUUCCUUUUGUUUCAGUUGAAGCCUGCAGGCAGUUGCUCAAGCCUUCUGUCCUUUCUUGCAGGUAAGUGCUAUAUGUAUUUCUCAUUGUUCUUUUAGCAUACAUUAGGCAGAGCAGGACCUGCCAGAUAUGGGGUACAUUGGCGUUGUGGCAGGCUUAUGCAAUGUAUGAUCAUAU